Homo sapiens (human) is the source of this 3822-nucleotide long non-coding RNA. NCBI's taxonomy places the organism in Eukaryota, Metazoa, Chordata, Mammalia, Primates, Hominidae. The record is from Ensembl.
GCCUUGUCAGCUCUGAGCUGGGAGGGGAGAGGAGAAAGGAGGAAGCCUCCUGACCUCGGAGCCUCCAGUCAGGACUGGCUGGCUCUGCUCCGUAUGCCGAAAGCCCUGGGAAUUUUUCACUGCUCUCGGGAUGGCGUCUGGGGCGUGGGCAGGUUGGUCCCGCUUUGAACGCUCUGCUGGACUUACGGAGCUGCUCUUAGUGCUGGGCAGUGAACGCCAAGCUGUCGUGUCCACACGGCCAGGGGAACGCCAGGGCCAAGGCCAGCAUGCGCUGAGCUUCUGCCCAGCCUGGAGUCGCCUUCACCAGGCCAUGAGCACGUGAGGCACUUUCUAAGCACUGGUUGCCCGGGAGGCGCAACUGCUCAGACGCCGAGGCAGCUCAAAGGGCUCCGACGUGCGGUGGCUCCACGGGGUCAGCGUGCCCAGAGUAAUGGGUGUCACUAGAGCACCUGGCCCAGCACACGCUUUCUGAGGACACCUGGUGGGCGCGCCCCACAGCAGGCCCCAAAGUUUCAGAGUAGGUCCUGUGGAGUACUUGCUGCCUGGGGGAGGCCCUUCCUCAGGGAGUGUCCAGCAGAGGGAAGAGCAGACCACGCUCUGGAAGGUCCAAGCCGAUCAUGCACGAGUCAACAGUGCUCCCACUGCCGGGCCAGCCCCUCUUCCCCACCCGAGGCCACCACUCUGCUGAAAUGAAGGUUCUUGAAUAGCAAGAAGGAAGGCAGAAGUUGGACACUGGAUCCUUCUGGGUUGUGGAUGUGGAUGAGCUAGCUGUGGGCCCCUUUCCCUCUCCCUGUCCUACUUCUGCUGUGCCAGCCCCACAGCUGCUCAGUCCCCUCCCUGGUGGUGGGUACUGUCCCGGGACAGCCAGUUGGUCCUCUCCUUCCCGUUGGCAAUUCUGGCUUUCCGGCAUUCCACACCACCGGCCCAGCCCCUGGGGCUUGGCGGAGGCAGUGUUCCUGCUAGCUCUUCUCUUUGGGCGGAGGAGCCCCAGCACCGCAGGAGAUGGGAGGCAGUGCAGAGACUCGCCUGAGUGCUGAGGGUGGCGGGGCCUGUCUCUGUCCCCUCUCGGGGACCUGUCCCUCUCCUGGACCACGGAUAUUGAUCUGAGGCAAACAUCUAAUUCCCACUUCCCCAGAACAUCCCCCAACUGAACAAAAAUCAGUGACACUUCAGGAAAGAAAAGGUGGUAUUUAGUGGCGGUCCCCACACUGCCCCUCCCAGGACUGUUUUCUAAGCCCACGUGAGAUCUCUCCUGAUCCCUUUGAGGUCUUAAUACAAGAGCCGGGCCUACGGGUGGGAGAGUCUGGAUUCUGUCCUGGCCUUGCCAUGCUUCCUGGCUUCAUGACCUUGUUCAAGUCACUUAAACCUCUGUCUGGCUUUUACAACCAUCAAACCAUCUACCCUCCAGGUGCUCCACAAGGACUGACUCCACCCCGGGCACUGUGUCGGCACUGGAAACAUGAAACCCGAGCUGGGAGCCAGACAGGGGUUCUUCCUGAGAGCCUGGGAAGCCGCCUGCCCUCGUGGAAUUUACGGUCUAAGGAGUGAUGCACGUGAGGCACUUUGAAAGAUGUGAAGGACUGUGUGUAAAACAUGUGCCAAUUUCUCGCUUCGCAGAAGGAAUUUCCACUGCUUUCUCAGUUAAGUGUCAAGAACCUCCAAAAGAGAUGGUUCAAGAGAGCUAUAUUAUUGAAUCAGAUUAUGUUCUUUACACAUUUUAGCAUAGCUCACAAAACCAUAUGAAUGUUUCUGUUUUGAAUAUUCUCUUCCUAAAUGUUUUACAUCCUGUGGGGAGGGGCUUGGAUUCUGAUUCUGUGUUUAAAUCCUACAAGCAGGCCGGGUGCGUAGCUCACACCUAUAAUCCCUGCACUUUGGGAGGCUGAGGCGGGCAGAUCAUGAGGUCAGGAGUUUGAGACCAGCCUGACCAACAUAGUGAAACCCCGUCUCUAUUGAAAAUACGAAAAUUAGCCGGGUGUGGUGGUGGGUGCCUGUAGUUCCAGCUACUCGGGAGGCUGAGGCAGGAGAAUUGCUUGAACCAGAGAGUUGGAGAUUGCAGUGCCGCUGCACUCCAGCCUGGGCAACAGAGCGAGACUCCCUCUCAAACAAAAUAAAACAAAAAACAUCCUACAAGUGUCAAGCAUGGUGGUGCACACCUGUAGUCCCAGCUACUCUGGAGGCUGAGGUGGGAGGAUCACUUGAGCCCAGUUCAAGACCAGCCUAGGCAACAUAGUGAGACCCUGUCUCUAAAAAUAAAAUUAAAAAGGCGGCCGGGUGCAGUUGCUCACGCCUGUAAUCCCAGCAAUUUGGGAGGCAGAGGCAGGUGGAUCAUGAGGUCAGGAGAUCGAGACCAUCCUGGCCAACAUGGUGAAACCCAGUCUCUACUAAAAAUACAAAAAUUAGCUGGGUGUGGUGGUGCAUGCCUGUAAUCCCAGCUACUCGGGAGGCUGAGGCAGGAGAAUCGCUUGAACCUGGGAGGCUGAGGUUGCAGUGAGCCAAGAUCAUGCCACUGCACUCCAGCCUGGGUGACAGGGCAAGACUCUGUCUCCAAAAAUAAAAAAAUAAAAAAAAAUAAACAAAUAAAAAUAAAAAGCCAAGUAUGGUGGCUCACACCUGUAAUCCCAGCACUUUGGGAGGCGGAAGCCGGCAGAUUGCUUGAGCUCAGAGGUUCAAGACCAGCCUGGGCAACAUGGUGAAUUACUGUCUCUACAAAAAAAAAAAUUAAAAAGUAGCUGGGUGUGGUGGCAUGGGCCUGUAGUCCUAGCUACUUGGGAGACUGAGGUGGAAGAAUCGCUGGAGCCUGGGAGGCGGAGGCUGCAGUGAGCCGAGACUGAGCCACCACACUCCAGCCUGAGUGACAGAGCAAGACCCCAUCUUUGAAAAAUAAAAAAUAAAAUAAAAAUAAAAAAUAAACAACCCUACAAGUUUAAUGGAGCAUUCACACCACAUGUACUGGUCUCCACUUUCAGAAUGCAAGGUCCUGGCGGGGAGGGGAGGCGUCUUACACAGCUGCAUGCGUGGUGCUGCCCUGCACACAGGAGAUGCUCCCAGGUGCUGAUGGGCAACACUGGCUGGGCCACAGGUUCUGGACGUGCUGGGGCCGCGUAAGGCUGCAGGCCUCAGUCCAUCUGCUGUGUAAAUGGCUCUCUCCCAGUAACACAACUUCAUCUGCUCACUUCAUCAACUUCGCACACUCACUGCAGCCUCAUGAAUGAGGAAGACAAUGGGCACAACUGGUCAAGAGCCUCCUGGGAUGGAGACUCACCCAGUCCAUGAAGUUCCUUCUAAACACAAAGUGGCCAGAUACCUGUGAACCAGACCUGGGAAGGAGGUCUGCUCCUUAGCAGAGAGAUACUCUGUUUUGCCGCCUUAAGUGACAGUUGCCUGGGUUACUACUUUUUUCCUUGGCACAGACCUGGGCAGCCCUGGCCUGCCUGACUCCCAGCCUGUUUGUGUGGUGCUGCUGUGACGUUUGGGCAGAAGAGGGGGUUGAGUGACUACGUGUGUUGAGCUCACCACCGAACAACAAGGGCAAGAAGAACCAGCCUUCUGCUCUGAAGUUCGGCUGAGCACUGCCCAGCUGACGCCAUCUACACACUGCCAUCAGCAGAUAACGAAGUCAGAAAAUGUGGAUUGAGGGGCCAGGCGCAGUGGCUCACGCCGGUAAUCCCAGCACUUUGGGAGGCCGAGGUGGGUGGAUCAUGAGGUCAGGAGAUCGAGACCAUCCUGGCCAACAUGGUGAAACCCCAUCUCUACUAGAAAUACACAAAAAAAUUAGCCGGGCAUGGUGGUGGGCACCUGUAGUCCCAGCUACUCGGGAGGCUG